This 467-nucleotide ribosomal RNA is filed under the name uncultured bacterium. RNAcentral's name for it is "partial 16S ribosomal RNA". It matches the Rfam family "Bacterial small subunit ribosomal RNA", at positions 28 to 507 of the family's 1533-position model. The record is from RNAcentral.
GACGAACGCUGGCGGCGUGCUUAACACAUGCAAGUCGAACGGAAAGGCCCUGCUUUUGUGGGGUGCUCGAGUGGCGAACGGGUGAGUAACACGUGAGUAACCUGCCCUUGACUUUGGGAUAACUUCAGGAAACUGGGGCUAAUACCGGAUAGGAGCUCCUGCUGCAUGGUGGGGGUUGGAAAGUUUCGGCGGUUGGGGAUGGACUCGCGGCUUAUCAGCUUGUUGGUGGGGUAGUGGCUUACCAAGGCUUUGACGGGUAGCCGGCCUGAGAGGGUGACCGGCACAUUGGGACUGAGAUACGGCCCUGACUCCUACGGGAGGCAGCAGUGGGGAAUAUUGCACAAUGGGCGGAAGCCUGAUGCAGCAACGCCGCGUGCGGGAUGACGGCCUUCGGGUUGUAAACCGCUUUCGCCUGUGACGAAGCGUGAGUGACGGUAAUGGGUAAAGAAGCACCGGCUAACUACGUG